GCCGAUGGUCCCUUUUCUCCUGGUGGCAGUAGCCGACUUCCCCUGUGCCAGCUGUCCCACAGCUGUGUGUCUUCCUCUUAAGAUAAGCCAUCACCAAACCUGUUGUCUCACAGACCCCUGAGAGAAUGUGGAGUUAUCACAAGGCUGUCUGCAAAUCCUCUCCUGAAGACAGAGAGAUGCCACAGGUGCCACCAGGUGCAGCAGCAGCAGCCUUCUACCUGCAGAUUCUUCAGGCUUGACCCAGGCACCUGGACGUGCCUUGAUUUCCUCAGCGCCUGCUAAGGUCUGACUGCUAAGUGCCUCAGCAGAGCUGGUUAAAGUGUUACAUUUCCAUAGGACAGCACAGCUCCAGAACACGAGGCCCACGGACACGUCUCAUCCUUUGCUCAGCUUCCUGUCAUCGGUCAGGACCAAAUCACCCGCCGGAGUGGUAGCUGGAAUUAGUCCGACACUUUGAAGAGGUCCUGGAACUGAGCUUCUUCUGGGCCUCCAAGCUUGGCUCAGACCUUGUAUAGCACAGGAGAGAGACAGAAGUAUAAUAAGCUAAAAGAUGUUUCACAAAGGAGGCAAAAACAAAACAAAACAUAACAAUGCAUUCCACUCCCCUCCCCCAGGAGAAAUGCUGUUGGGGAUUUAAAAUCUCCAUAUCCAUGGCCACCUAAGAUACAGCUUGUGUUUAGGGUGGCUGCUGUCUGAGCUUCUGAGAGUCACAGGGGGAACCUCAAAAUUCUGGGCAUCAAGAGUCCUUCUGAGUUGAAAUAAAAAGAGGCUCAGGACAUUUGUGUAAAUGCUGACCUUAAGUGAGCAGAGACUGUGUGCGAAUGGAUUCCUCUGGGCGUGGAAUACGGAGUUACAGCAGUUUGGGUGAAAGUCACCACAUUAACUAGUACUUGUAGGGUCAAACUGAGGUACUUGUGAAUAAGAACACAGCUGCCAUGACUUCUGGGACUUUCUGCAUUAACCAGUAAAGACUUCUUGUCCCAUGGUGGUCGGGAAGGGUUCUGGGAAUGGGACAGUAGGAGUGGGCCAGGGAUGGCUUGAGACUUCCUAGUACUGUCCCUGGGGUCACAGUCAGUGACAGGCAAAGCAGGACCCUGAUGGCCUAAGUGGAGGGAAAAUAAAUACAAGCCAGAGAAAACAUUAUGGAAAAGGACAUUAUGUCCUUGGGAGUGGUCUCAGUGUUCCCCGAGGUCACCACUCACUCAUUUACCUCCUUAGGGGUCUUAUUUUUUAAAAUGUGGAUAAAAGUGAAGGAGGAACUGGCCACCACGGUUGAGGGACAAGCCACUUGUGAUGAAUGGUAGCUCUUUGUGGAAAGUGCUUUACUUUACAGUUUUCAAUGCACUUCCCUGAGGAUUUCCGGCAAAAACCGUGCCCUUUACCCGUGCGUGUCAGCCUUUCUGCUCCUGUCUUCACCUGCCCCUUGCGGGUAACAGGAGUCACUCUGGGAAAUAAAUUCUUGGCCUGUGCUAACGUGUUACCAUCAGAAACGAGAAGGGCAGGGCAGGUCUGUAGAAAUAACCAGGCUGUUAAUCUCACACACUUGGAAGAUUUUUUGCAAACGCAAAGUUUAAACUAUAAGAGUGGGCACCCCGGCACCAGGUCAUCCGCCAAUGUACCCUGUUGGUGGAGGGACUGUGCCUUCAGCUCACAGU
Molecule: long non-coding RNA, 1655 nt
Organism: Chinchilla lanigera (long-tailed chinchilla)
Lineage: Eukaryota; Metazoa; Chordata; Mammalia; Rodentia; Chinchillidae
Exons: 4
Source: RefSeq, a predicted model, not a curated record